CGCAGCCGCGGUAAUUCCAGCUCCAAUAGCGUAUAUUAAAGUUGUUGCAGUUAAAAAGCUCGUAGUUGAAUUUCGGGAUCAAUUGAUCGGUCGUGCCUCUGGUACGCACUGGUUUUAUUGGUUUCUCCUUCUGACGAACCAGGAUGUCAUUAAUUUGGUGUCUUGGAGAAUCGAGGACUGUUACUUGAAAAAUUAGAGUGUUUAAAGCAGGCUAACGCUUGAAUACAUUAGCAUGGAAUAAUGAAAUAGGACGUUUGAUCCUAUUUUGUGGUUUCUAGGAU
This 281-nucleotide unclassified non-coding RNA is filed under the name uncultured Glomus. RNAcentral describes it as "sequence contains 18S rRNA gene". It matches the Rfam family "Eukaryotic small subunit ribosomal RNA", at positions 569 to 857 of the family's 1831-position model. Lineage: Eukaryota; Fungi; Glomeromycota; Glomeromycetes; Glomerales; Glomeraceae. The record is from RNAcentral.